UGGGGGAUAUUGCACAAUGGGCGAAAGCCUGAUGCAGCGACGCCGCGUGGGGGAUGAAGGCUUUCGGGUUGUAAACCUCUUUCGCUAUCGAACAAGGCCCGCUUAGGGUGGGUUGAGGGUAGGUGGAGAAGAAGCGCCGGCUAACUACGUGCCAGCAGCCGCGGUAAUACGUAGGGCGCGAGCGUUGUCCGGAAUUAUUGGGCGUAAAGGGCUUGUAGGCGGCUUGCUGCGCCUGCUGUGAAAACGCGGGGCUUAACUUCGCGCGUGCAGUGGGUACGGGCAGGCUUGAGUGUGGUAGGGGUGACUGGAAUUCCAGGUGUAGCGGAGGAAUGCGCAGAUAUCUGGAGGAACACCGAUGGCGAAGGCAGGUCACUGGGCCAUUACUGACGCUGAGGAGCGAAAGCAUGGGUAGCGAACAGG
This 420-nucleotide ribosomal RNA is filed under the name bacterium. RNAcentral's name for it is "partial 16S ribosomal RNA". It matches the Rfam family "Bacterial small subunit ribosomal RNA", at positions 355 to 776 of the family's 1533-position model. The record is from RNAcentral.